This 474-nucleotide long non-coding RNA is filed under the name Salvia miltiorrhiza (redroot sage). RNAcentral's name for it is "long non-coding RNA (SMIL_LNC012779)". Lineage: Eukaryota; Viridiplantae; Streptophyta; Magnoliopsida; Lamiales; Lamiaceae. The record is from RNAcentral.
GUGUAUUUAGAAAAGUUCAAUAAAAUACACGAACUUUAUUAGUUAUUCAAUUUUGACUCCGAUUUCAUUUCUCUCAAGUAAAAAAAUGACAUGGAGUCUACGCGGCUCACUGAAAAUAACAUGGUGUCUACGUGACGUCUACAUGACAUUUACAUGGCGCUUAUUUAGUUCAUUGGAGUCAAAAUUAAAAACUAAUAAAUUCGUGUAUUUUAUUAAACUUUUCAAAGUACGCGUCAAAAAUGAAUUUUAGCCACAGUUGAUGUAAUUACGUGCAAUUAACCCUAAAUAUACAAAUAUGCCCCCAAUGCUUAUUUAAAAAAAAAAAAGACAAAAAAAAAAAAAAAACUACAUUUGUGCAUCCCUACCGCCCAUCUCCCCUCUCCACCUUCUCAUUGCUACGAUUAGGGAUGUCAAUCGGGCUAAUCCACCGUAUUUCAUGCUAACCCUAUCGGGUUACGGGUUAUUCGGGUGUGG